GAAAUCUGAAGAUUAUUUGGCUCACCUCUUGGGGCAUGAGGGCAGAGGAAGCUUACAUUCCUUUCUCAAAGCUAAAGGAUGGGCCACAUCUUUGUCUGCUGGUGUUGGAGAAGAAGGAAUGCAUCGAUCAUCUGUAGCUUAUAUCUUUGGCAUGUCGAUACGUCUCACUGACUCUGGCUUAGAGAAGAUUUUUGAAAUCAUUGGCGUCAUUUAUCAAUACCU
RNAcentral lists this unclassified non-coding RNA (222 nucleotides) under Hevea brasiliensis (rubber tree). The record is from RNAcentral. Lineage: Eukaryota; Viridiplantae; Streptophyta; Magnoliopsida; Malpighiales; Euphorbiaceae.